GUCCACAGCAAUACCACCCUGAACGUGCCCAAUCUCAUCUGAUCUGGAAGCUAAGGAGGAUCGGGCCUGGUUGGGAGAGGAGGCAGAGGUCA
This 92-nucleotide ribosomal RNA is filed under the name Castor canadensis (American beaver). Lineage: Eukaryota; Metazoa; Chordata; Mammalia; Rodentia; Castoridae. The record is from RNAcentral.